This 69-nucleotide transfer RNA is filed under the name Ictidomys tridecemlineatus (thirteen-lined ground squirrel). RNAcentral's name for it is "Spermophilus tridecemlineatus (thirteen-lined ground squirrel) tRNA". It matches the Rfam family "tRNA". From Rfam's summary of the family: Transfer RNA (tRNA) molecules are approximately 80 nucleotides in length. Their secondary structure includes four short double-helical elements and three loops (D, anti-codon, and T loops). Further hydrogen bonds mediate the characteristic L-shaped molecular structure. tRNAs have two regions of fundamental functional importance: the anti-codon, which is responsible for specific mRNA codon recognition, and the 3' end, to which the tRNAs corresponding amino acid is attached (by aminoacyl-tRNA synthetases). tRNAs cope with the degeneracy of the genetic code in two manners: having more than one tRNA (with a specific anti-codon) for a particular amino acid; and 'wobble' base-pairing, i.e. permitting non-standard base-pairing at the 3rd anti-codon position. The record is from Rfam by way of RNAcentral. Lineage: Eukaryota; Metazoa; Chordata; Mammalia; Rodentia; Sciuridae.
GGGGUUGUGGCUCAGUGGCAGAGCACUCACCUCACAUGUGUGAAGUCCUGGGUUCGAUCCUCAGUGCCA